This 256-nucleotide long non-coding RNA is filed under the name Elaeis guineensis (African oil palm). RNAcentral describes it as "long non-coding RNA (EGUI_LNC034026)". Lineage: Eukaryota; Viridiplantae; Streptophyta; Magnoliopsida; Arecales; Arecaceae. The record is from RNAcentral.
GAUGUAUUUACUAUGUAAGCCAUUUUGAAUGAUAAAAUAGUAUUUAGUAAUUAUCUUAUAUUUAUGUAUAUGUAGAAUUCUUAGAUAGUCUGUUAUGGACUGUAGUUAGAUGGACCGUCGAGUAGUCGACGGAGAGAUUUCUGUUGAGAAUAUAGUAGAGUACUUUUGUAAUUUUAAUUUUAAAAAUGUGGCACUCUUACAUCAAGGACAGGCUCAUUGCCCUUAUAACAGAUGUGGCAAUAAGACAUAUUAAUAG